UAUUAAAAGUUCCAUCAACUUUUUACUGUUAAAAACUAGUCUUUGUACAUUAGCAUUUCGUUAGCUACGCCAUUUUUAACAGUAGAAAUAGAUGGAAUUUUUAAUA
This is a non-coding RNA of Gossypium hirsutum (cotton), 106 nucleotides long. Lineage: Eukaryota; Viridiplantae; Streptophyta; Magnoliopsida; Malvales; Malvaceae. The record is from Rfam.